Molecule: non-coding RNA, 512 nt
Organism: Phascolarctos cinereus (koala)
Lineage: Eukaryota; Metazoa; Chordata; Mammalia; Diprotodontia; Phascolarctidae
Source: RefSeq, a predicted model, not a curated record
UUGAUCCUGCAUGGCUCAGAUACCCGGAAGGCUUCAGAACCCAGGCAGCAUGUGAUCAAGGCUAGAGACUUUUACAGUACCAGGACCCGGGGUUUGAAUACUGUAUGCAUAACUUGGGUCAAGUCCUUUAACUUUCCUGAUUCUCAUUUCCCUUCUCUGUGAAAUGGGGGAAUUCGAUGAUCUCUAAUCUAAAUCUCGGUCAAGUUGAAAGCACACAGCUUGGGAGUCCUCAGAUGGAGUGUUCAAAUCCUGCCUCUUUCCCUCACUGCCUGUGUGACCUUGGGAAUAUUAAUUUGGCAGCUAAGUGCUGUGUGACUAUAGUGGGGAGAAGCUUGAAGUUGGGAGACCCACCAGUUGGCUAUUGCAGUAAUCCAGGUGUGAGGCAAUGGCAGACUGCACGGGAUGGUAGCAAUAUCCGAGGGAACAAGGUCAACUCAAAAGAACGAGGAGGUACCAAUUAUAAUUUCAGGUAUGGAAACAGUAAAAAUAGAUAUGAUUAAAAGAGAUAAAAA